This 288-nucleotide long non-coding RNA is filed under the name Bos taurus (domestic cattle). RNAcentral describes it as "long non-coding RNA NONBTAT016004". The record is from RNAcentral. Lineage: Eukaryota; Metazoa; Chordata; Mammalia; Artiodactyla; Bovidae.
CCCCACUUCUCUAUGAUGUGGUUUAUCCUCUAGGGGCAAAUGCGAUUUCGAGAGCCACAGUUUGCCAAAGACAUCCUGCAAUUUUCUGCUUCCAGUCACCAGCUGCAAGGGUAUUGAGUGUCAUUUCUUUCCCAUAUUAAACCAAGUUAAUAUUGUAUAAAAUUAUCUGGUUAUUUUGAUUACUUACCUACAAUUUUCAGAUCAGGAACUAUAUUUUCACUUAGAAAAGCACAUUCCCUCUAGCAGUAAAAUUCUUUUGAAUAAAUUCCCCACAAAAAGCCAUAUCUU